This 6181-nucleotide long non-coding RNA is filed under the name Homo sapiens (human). Its description in RNAcentral is "HSALNT0246693". Lineage: Eukaryota; Metazoa; Chordata; Mammalia; Primates; Hominidae. The record is from RNAcentral.
UCCUGGCUAGACCUGCGCGCAGUGCGCACCCCGGCUGACGUGCAAGGGAGCUCGCUGGCCUCUCUGUGCCCUUGUUUGUCCGUGAAAUUCUGGCUGAGUCUCUCCCCCCACCUUCCGACGCUGUCUAGGCAAAGCCUGGAGUAGAGUUGCAUCUCCUGGAUGAUCAGUUCAGAGAUAUGUCACAAUGCCCCCUCCCUGUGGAUCCUAGAGAAGAUUUGCACCAUUUGGGUGAUCAGUGCAGAGAUAUGUCACAAUGUCCCCUGUAGAAAAAGCCUGGAAAUGAUUUACAUCACCUCGGUGAUCAGUGCAGAUGUGUGUCAGAUCUCCCUAGUAGGCUGAACCUAGACAAGGGUUACAUCACUUAGGUGAUCAGUGUAGAGGUAUGUGAAAAUUCCCGUGUAGACAGAGCCUAGACAAUUGUUACAUCACCUAGUGAUCAGUGCAGGGAUAAGUCAUAAAGCCUCCUGUAGGCAGAGUGUAGACAAGUGUUCCCUCCCUGGGCUGAUCAGUGCAGAGAUAUCUCACAAAGCCGCUUUAAGCAGAACCUUGACAAGGGUUACAUCACCUGUUUGAUCAGUGGAAAUAUAUAUCACAAAGCCCCCUGUAAGCAAAGCCCAGACAAUUUUUACAUCUCCUGAGUGAGCAUUGGAGAGAUCUGUCACAAUGCCCCUGUAGGCAGAGCUUGGACAAGUGUUACAUCACCUGGGUGAUCAGUGCAGAGAUAUGUCAAAACGCUCCUGUAGGCUGAACCUAGACAGGAGUUACAUCACCUGGGGGAUCAGUGCAGAGAUAUGUGAGAAUUCCCUUGUAGGCAGAGCCUAGACAAGUGUUACAUCACCUAGGUUAUCAGUGCAGAGAUAUGUGAGAAUUCCCGUGUAGGCAGAGCCUAGACAAGUGUUACAUCACCUAGGUUAUCAGUGUAAGUAUUAGUCAUAAAGCCUCCUGUAGGCAGAGCGUAGACAAGAGUUCCCUCCCCAGGGUGAUCAGUGCAGAGAUGUGUCACAAAGCCCCUGUAGGCAGAGCCUAGACAAGAGUUUCAUCACUUGGUUGAUCAGUUCAGAGAUGUGUCACAAUGUCCAUGUAGGCAGAUCUAAGACAAGGGUCCAUCACCUGGGUGAUCAGUGCAGAGAUAUGUACCAAUGUGCCCUGUAGGCAGUGCCUAGACAAGAGUUGAAUCACCUCAGAGAUCAGUGCAUAGAUAUGUCACAAAGCCUUCUGUAGGCAAAGCCCAUACAAGGUUUACAUCACCUAGGUGAUCAGUGCAGUGAUAUGUCACAAAAAUCCCUGUAGACAGAGCCUAGACAAGAGUUACAUCACCUGGGUGAUCAGUGCAGAUAUUUGACACAAUGCCCCCAUAGACAGAGCCUAGACAAGACUUCCAUCACCUGGGUGAUCAGUGCAGAGAUAUGUCACAAAUCCCCCUCUAGGCAGAGUAUAGAGAAGAGUCCCAUCACCUGGGUGAUCAGUGCAGAGAUAUUUCACAAUGCCCCCUGUAGGCAGAGAGUGGACAAAAGUUACAUAACCUAGAUGAUCUGUGCAGAGCUAUGUCAAAACGCCCCUGUAGGCAGAGCCUAGAUGAGUGUUACAUCACCUGGGUGAUCACUGCAGAGAUACGUCACAAUACCCCCUGUAGGUGGGGCCUAGACAAGAGUUACAUCACCUGGGUGAUCAGUGGAGAUAUCUGUCACAAUUCGCCUUUAGGCGCAGCUUAGACAAGCGUUACAUCACAUGAGUGAUCAGUGCAGAGAUAUGUCACUAUGCCCCCAUAGGCAGAUCCAAGACAAGAGUCCAUCACCUGGGUGAUCAGUGCAGAAAUAUGCCACAAUGCCACCAGUAGACAGAUAUAGACAAGAGUUACAUCACCUGCGUGAUCACUGCAGAGAUAUGUCACAAUGCCCCUGUAGCCAUAUCCUUGACAAAAGUGACAUCACCUGGGUGAUCAGUGCGGAGAUAUGUCACAAUGUCUCCAGUAGGCAGAGCCUAAACAAGAGUUACAUCACCUCUGUGAUCAGUGCAGAGAUACGUCACAAUGCCCCUGUAGGCAGAGCCUAGACAAGAGUUACAUAACCCAGGUGAUCCGUGCAGAGUGAUGUCACAACGCCCUCUGUAGGCAGAGACUAGAAAAGAGUUACAUUACCUGGGUGAUCUGUGCAGAGAUAUGUCACAAUGUACCCUGUAGGCAGAGCACAGAGAAGAGUUGCAUCACCUGGGUGAUCAGUGCAGAGAUAUGUCACAAUGUCCCCUGUAGGCAAAGCCUAGUCAAGAGUUGCAUCACCUGGGUGAUCAGUGCAGAGAUAUUUCACAACGCCCCCUGUAGGCAGAGGGUAGACAAGAGUUACAUCACCUAGGUGAUCAGUGCAGAGAUUUGUCGAAAUUCCCUGUAGGCAGUGCUUAUAAAAGUGUUACAUCACCUAAGUGAUCAGUGCAGAGAUAUGUCACAAAGCUCCUGUAGGCAGAGCUUAGAUGAGUUACAUCACCUGGGUGAUCAGAGCAAAGGUAUGUCACAAAGCCCCCUGUAGGCCAAAGCCUAGACAAUAGUUACAUCACUUGGGUGAUCAGUGGCGAGAUCUCUCACAAUUCCCCUGUAGGCAGAGCUUAUACAACAGUUACAUCACCUGGGUGAUCAGUGCAGAUAUAUGUCACAAUGCCCCCAUAGGCAGAUCCAAGACAAGAGUCCGUCUCCUGGGUGAUCAGUGCAGAAAUACGUCACAAUGCCCCCUUAGGCAGAGCCUAGACAAAAGCCCCAUCACCUGGAUGAUUAGUGCAGAGUUAUGUCACAAAGUCCCUUUAGGCAGAUCCUAGACAAGAGUCCCAUUACUUGGGUGAUCAGUGCAGAGAUAUGUCACAAUGCCACUGUAGGCAGAGCCUAGACAAGAGUUACAUGACCUAGGUGAUCAGUGCAGAGAUACAUCGCAAUGCCCCUGUAGGCAGAGCCUUGACAAGUGGUACAUCACCUGGGUGAUCAUUGCAGGGAUAUGUCACAAAGCACCCUGUAGGCAGAUCCUAGAGAAGAGUUAUAUCACCUGGGUGAUCAGUGCAGAGAUAUGUCACAAGCCCCCUGUAGGCAGAGCCUAGACAAGAGUUAUAUCACCUGGGUGAUCAGUGCAGUCAUAUGUCACAAUGCUGUGUAGCCAGAGCCUAGACAAAAGUUACAGCACCUGGGAGAUCAGUGCAGAGAUAUGUCACAAUGUCCCCAGUAGGCAGAGACCAGGCAAGAGUUGGAUCACCUCGGGAUCAGUGCAGAGAUAUGUCUCAAUCCCCCUGUGGGCACAGCCUAGACAAGAGUUACAUCACCUCGGUUAACAGUGCAGAGAUAUGUCAAAAUGCCCCUGUAGGCAGAGCCUACACAAGUAUUACAUCACUUAGGUGAUCAGUGCAGAGAUAUGUCACAAUACCCCCUGUAAGCAGAGCCUAGACAAGAGUUACAUCACCUGGGUGAUCAGUGCAGACAUAUGUGACAAGGCCCCUUUAAGCAGAGCCUAGACAAUAGUUACAUCACCUGAGUGAUCAGUGCAGAGAUCUGUCACAAUGCCCCUUUAGGCAGAGCUUAGACCAGAGUUACAUCACCUGGGUGAUCAGUGCAGAGGUAUGUCACAUUGCCCCCAUAGGCAAAUCCAAGACAAGAGUCAGUCACCUGGGUGAUCACUGCAGAAAUAUGUGACAAUGCCCCCAGUAGGCAGAACCUAGAGAAGAGUCCCUUCACCUGGGUGAUCAGUGCAGAGUUAUGCCACAAUGCCCCCUGUAGGCAGAGCCUAGACAAGAGUUACAUCAUCUGGUUGAUCAGUAAAGAGAUAUUUCUCAAUGCCCCUGCAGGCAGAGCGUAAGCAAGAGUUACAUCACCUAGAUGAUCAGUGCAGAGAUACGUCACAAGGCCCCCUAUAGGCAGAGCCUGGACAAGAGUUACAUCACCUCGGUGAUCAAUGCAGUGAUAUGUCACUGUGCCCCGUAGGCAGAGCCUAGUCAAGCGUUACAUCACCUGGGUGAUCAGUGCAGAGAUAUGUCAGAAAGCCCCCAUACACAGAGCCUAGACAAGAGUCCCAUCACCUGGGUGAUCAGUGCAGAAAUAUGUCACAAUGCCCCUAUAGGCAGAUCCAACACAAGUGUUACAUCACCUGGGUGAUCAGUGCAGAAAUAUGUCUCAAUGCCCCCAUAGGCAGAUCCAACACAAGAGUUACAUCACCUGGGUGAUCAGUGUAGAGAUAUGUCACAAUGCCCCCGUAGACAGAGCCUAGACAAAAGUCCCAUCACCUGGGUGAUCAGUGCAGAGAUAUGUCACAAAGCCCCUGUAGGCAGAGCCUAGACAAGAGUUACAUCACUUUGUUGAUCAGUUCAGAGAUGUGUCACAAUGCCCAUGUAGGCAGAGCCUAGACAAGUGUUCCAUCACCUGGGUGAUCAGUGCAGAGAUAUGUGACAAGGCCCCUUUAAGCAGAGCCUAGACAAUAGUUACAUCACCUGAGUGAUCAAUGCAGUGAUAUGUCACUAUGCCCCAGUAGGCAGAGCCUAGUCAAGCGUUACAUCACCUGAGUGAUCAGUGCAGAGAUAUGUCACAAAGCCCCCAUACACAGAGCCUAGACAACAGUCCCAUCCCCUGGGUGAUCAGUGCAGAAAUAUGUCACAAUGCCCCCAUAGGCAGAUCCAACACAAGAGUUACAUCACCUGGGUGAUCAGUGUAGAGAUAUGUCACAAUGCCCCCAUAGGCAGAGCGUAGACAAAAGUCCCAUCACCAGGGUGAUCAGUGCAGAGAUAUGUCACAAAGCCCCCAUAGGCAGAGCCUAGACAAGAGUUACAUCACUUGGUUGAUCAGUUCAGAGAUGUGUCACAAUGCCCAUGUAGGCAGAGCCUACACAAGUGUUACAUCACUUAGGUGAUCAGUGCAGAGCUAUGUCACAAUACCCCCGUAAGCAGAGCCUAGACAAGAGUUACAUCACCUGGUUGAUCAGUGCAGAGAUAUCUCACAAUGUCCCUGCAGGCAGAGUGUAGACAAGAGUUACAUCACCUAGAUGAUCAGUGCAGAGAUAUUUCACAAUGCCCCCUGUAGGCAGAGCCUAGACAAGAAUUAUAUUACCUGGAUGAUCAGUACGGUGAUAUGUCACUAUGCCCCCUGUGGGCGGAGCCUAGACAAGAGUUACAUCACCUGGGUGAUAAGGGCAGAGAUAUGUCACAAUGCUCCAGUAGGCAGAGCCUAGACAAGAGUCCUAUCACCUGGGUGAUCAGUGCAGAAAUAUGUCACAAUGCCCCCAGUAGACAGAGCCUAGACAAGAGUUACAUCACCUGGGUGAUCAGUGCAGAAAUAUGUUGCAAUGCCCCCAUAGGCAGAUCCAACACAAGAGUUACAUCACCUGGGUGAUCAGUGCAGAGAUAUGUAACAAUGCCCCCAGUAGGCAGAGCCUAGAGGAGAGUUACAUCAUCUGGGUGAUCUUUGCAGAGAUAUGUCACAAUCCUCCAAGUAAGCAGAGCCUAGACAAAAGUUACAUCAUCUGGGCGAUCAGUGCAGAGACAAGUCACAAAACCCACAUAGGAAAAGACUAGACAAGAGUUACAUCAUCUGGGUCAUCAGUGCAGACAUAUGUCAAAGCUGCCGUAGGCAGAGUGUAGACAAGUAUUACAUCACUUGGGUGAUCAGUGCAGAGAUCUAUCACAGUGCCCCCAUAGGCAGAGCCUAGACAAGAGUUCCAUCACCUGUGUGAUCAGUGUAGAGAUAUGUCACAAUGCCUCCUGUAGGCAGAGGCUAGACAAGAGUUACAUCACCUGGAUUUUGUUUCCUGCAAUAUGUCACAAUGGCGAGGGUGAGGGUUAGGGUUAGGGUGAGGGUCAGGGUGAGGGUCAGGGUGAGGGUCAGGGUGAGGGUGAGGGUCAGGGUGAGGGUGAGGGUUAGGGUUAGGGUGAGCAUUAGGUUUAGGGUUAGGGUUAGGGUUAGGGGUUAGGCUUAGGCUUAGGGUAAGGCUUAGGGUUCAGGUUCAAGUUUGGAUUCGGGUUCGGGUUCAGGUUAAGAGUUAGGGUUAGGGUUACGGGUUAGGGUUAGGGGUUAGGGUUAGGUGUUAGGGCUGGGUUAGGUUUAGGGUUAGGGUUAUGGGUUACGGUUAGGGUUAGGGUUUAGGGUUAGGGUUAGGGUUAGGAUUGGGGUUAGGUUUAGGGUUAGGGUUAGGGUUAGGUUUAGGGUUGGGUUAGGGUUAGGAUUGGG